UCGACGGGACCUGAACAUCGCCCCCGAGUGCUCCGUGAUCGCUGCGCAUGCGUGAGCUGAGAGAAGGUGAGAAAGGAGAACAACUCUUUUUCCCCGGAUGUGACGUCACAUUGUUGCUUGUUUUUACUUUUUUGAAAGAGCUACUCUCGAACGUAGAUUAGCCAUUGCCGUCGUGUCGGCUGCAAGACGUUCUGCGCGCGCUUGGCGCGCUUUUGUGCGUGUCGAAAGCGUAUAACGUGCGCGAUAUUCGUGCGAGCGCAGUUUGACUUGAGCAAUCGUGGGUUUGGACUCCGUGACAUUUGCUUUCGUCAUAUGCGAGUUAGGGGCUUGCCGACAGGUAAACCGCCGCUGUACUUAGAUGCAAAAGCUGCCUCCCUUAUCUGGAACAGAAUAAAUUCCUUUCGAAGGCAAAAUAAAAAACAGAAAGAGAAGUCA
RNAcentral lists this long non-coding RNA (435 nucleotides) under Dermacentor andersoni. Its description in RNAcentral is "uncharacterized LOC126536741". Lineage: Eukaryota; Metazoa; Arthropoda; Arachnida; Ixodida; Ixodidae. The record is from RNAcentral.